GGAGUCUAGCAUGUGCGCGAGUCAUUGGGACAUCGCUAAGCCUAAAGGCAAAAUGAAAGUGAAGGUCCGCCUAGCGCGGACCUAGGGAGGAUGGGUGAUCGGUCACGGCCGCCACCCCGCACUCCCGGGGCGUCUCGUUCUCAUCACGAGAAGAGGCGCACCAAGAGCGUACACGCUGGUACCCGAAAGAUGGUGAACUAUGCCUGGUCAGGACGAAGUCAGGGGAAACCCUGAUGGAGGUCCGUAGCGAUUCUGACGUGCAAAUCGAUCGUCUGAACUGGGUAUAGGGGCGAAAGACUAAUCGAACCAUCUAGUAGCUGGUUCCCUCCGAAGUUUCCCUCAGGAUAGCUGGUGCUCGUUGCGUACGAGUUUCAUCCGGUAAAGCGAAUGAUUAGAGGCAUUGGGGUCGAAACGGCCUCAACCUAUUCUCAAACUUUAAAUGGGUGAGAUCUCCGGCUUGCUUGAACGAAUGAAGCCGCGAGACUCGAAUCAGAGUGCCAAGUGGGCCAUUUUUGGUAAGCAGAACUGGCGCUGUGGGAUGAACCAAACGCAGAGUUAAAGCGCCAAAAUCAACGCUUAUGGGAUACCAUGAAAGGCGUUGGUAACUUAAGACAUCAGGACGGUGGCCAUGGAAGUC
RNAcentral lists this ribosomal RNA (637 nucleotides) under Pyrochroa coccinea. Its description in RNAcentral is "eukaryotic LSU rRNA". It matches the Rfam family "Eukaryotic large subunit ribosomal RNA", at positions 670 to 1262 of the family's 3401-position model. Lineage: Eukaryota; Metazoa; Arthropoda; Insecta; Coleoptera; Pyrochroidae. The record is from RNAcentral.